GACGAACGCUGGCGGCGUGCCUAAUACAUGCAAGUAGAACGCUGAAGGAGGAGCUUGCUCUUUCCGGAUGAGUUGCGAACGGGUGAGUAACGCGUAGGUAACCUGCCUGGUAGCGGGGGAUAACUAUUGGAAACGAUAGCUAAUACCGCAUAACAGUAGAUAUCGCAUGAUAGCUGCUUGAAAGGUGCAACUGCACCACUACCAGAUGGACCUGCGUUGUAUUAGCUAGUUGGUGAGGUAACGGCUCACCAAGGCAACGAUACAUAGCCGACCUGAGAGGGUGAUCGGCCACACUGGGACUGAGACACGGCCCAGACUCCUACGGGAGGCAGCAGUAGGGAAUCUUCGGCAAUGGACGGAAGUCUGACCGAGCAACGCCGCGUGAGUGAAGAAGGUUUUCGGAUCGUAAAGCUCUGUUGUAGGAGAAGAACGAGUGUGAGAGUGGAAAGUUCACACUGUGACGGUAUCUUACCAGAAAGGGACGGCUAACUACGUGCCAGCAGCCGCGGUAAUACGUAGGUCCCGAGCGUUGUCCGGAUUUAUUGGGCGUAAAGCGAGCGCAGGCGGUUAGAUAAGUCUGAAGUUAAAGGCUGUGGCUUAACCAUAGUACGCUUUGGAAACUGUUUAACUUGAGUGCAAGAGGGGAGAGUGGAAUUCCAUGUGUAGCGGUGAAAUGCGUAGAUAUAUGGAGGAACACCGGUGGCGAAAGCGGCUCUCUGGCUUGUAACUGACGCUGAGGCUCGAAAGCGUGGGGAGCAAACAGG
This 764-nucleotide ribosomal RNA is filed under the name uncultured Streptococcus sp. RNAcentral's name for it is "bacterial SSU rRNA". It matches the Rfam family "Bacterial small subunit ribosomal RNA", at positions 28 to 776 of the family's 1533-position model. Lineage: Bacteria; Bacillati; Bacillota; Bacilli; Lactobacillales; Streptococcaceae. The record is from RNAcentral.